This 73-nucleotide transfer RNA is filed under the name Candidatus Pelagibacter sp. RNAcentral's name for it is "tRNA-Arg". It matches the Rfam family "tRNA". Rfam says of the family: Transfer RNA (tRNA) molecules are approximately 80 nucleotides in length. Their secondary structure includes four short double-helical elements and three loops (D, anti-codon, and T loops). The record is from RNAcentral. Lineage: Bacteria; Pseudomonadati; Pseudomonadota; Alphaproteobacteria; Candidatus Pelagibacterales; Candidatus Pelagibacteraceae.
GUCCUCGUGGCGCAAUGGAUAGCGCGCGAGACUUCUAAUCUCGAGGUUGUGGGUUCGAAUCCCACCGGGGACU